This is a non-coding RNA of Stemphylium lycopersici, 129 nucleotides long. NCBI's taxonomy places the organism in Eukaryota, Fungi, Ascomycota, Dothideomycetes, Pleosporales, Pleosporaceae. The record is from the annotation of a GenBank genome assembly.
GCAUCGGUGGUUUAGUGGUAAAAUUAGCCGUUGCCAUUCAGUUUCGGCUAGCCCCGGGUUCGGUAAGUCACUUGACAUGAGGAGUUUCGAUCCAUCUCACUAACAGCAAUAGAUUCCCGGCCGAUGCAA